This 93-nucleotide small RNA is filed under the name Citrobacter sp. Cb013. RNAcentral's name for it is "partial RtT sRNA". It matches the Rfam family "RtT RNA", at positions 1 to 91 of the family's 130-position model. Rfam says of the family: This family represents a bacterial cis-regulatory element known as RtT RNA. The exact function of RtT is unknown although it is thought that it may be involved in changing the cellular response in relation to amino acid starvation. RNAcentral also lists the same sequence under 1 other name. Lineage: Bacteria; Pseudomonadati; Pseudomonadota; Gammaproteobacteria; Enterobacterales; Enterobacteriaceae. The record is from RNAcentral.
UAUUCUGCCCAGACGGGAAGGAUGAGAAGCUUCGACUAAGGUUCGAUUCGAGCGUUAGCGAGAAAGCGUUGCCGCAGGCAACGACCCGAAGGG